GGUCCUGUGGUCUAGUGGUAUGAUUCUCGCUUUGGGUGUACUUCGGUAAAAGCCUAAUCUGCGAGAGGCCCCGUGUUCGAACCACGGCAGGACCC
Molecule: non-coding RNA, 95 nt
Organism: Emergomyces pasteurianus Ep9510
Lineage: Eukaryota; Fungi; Ascomycota; Eurotiomycetes; Onygenales; Ajellomycetaceae
Source: the annotation of a GenBank genome assembly